AAAUCCCCCAGUUGACCAACAGAGGGUACUACUCCUCUUCUGAGCUGGGCACUUACGGGAUCUGCUGAGUAUGGUGAGGAGAAAAAAGUUAGCUGAUCACAGGUACCCACUUUCAACCUUCUAGUCCAUACGUGGGCCUUGUCCUUAGUAGGGCUACGUCAGAAACCCCACAAUACUGAACGCUCAACAUUUCACUGAAGUAAAUGGCAUUCUGAGUCAUGGUACUUGUGACCUCGCAAAGAGACCCACUGAGCCUUCCUGAGGAGGUAUGCAAACAGGUUGCUCAAGUCCUCGCUGCAUUUCAGAAGAUUAGUUAUUUGGAACAAGACAUGUACGUUUCCUCUGUUCAUUCCAGACUCUAAAUCUGCUUGAUUUCAACAGUUGUCUGCAUUUUAGCUCAGUCAUUUGUAGUUCCUAGACAGGGCACAGUUUUCCCCUUGCUCAGGAGUUUGUCCAUACUUUCCCUCAAAGUGACUUCAUGCCCAUCACACUUACAAUGAUUCUUGUCCAGUAGGAACAUACCAGGCUUGGUCUGUGACAGGAACUCGAAUUCACCAACUUUAAAGAUUACUCUACAUAUAACACUUUCUCUGCUUUUAAGAAGUGCACAGUGGAAUAACACGUUAAGAACAUACAUUGUGAAAUGAUUACCGAGAUCAACAUCCACCAAAUGCUCAUCCUUUCACAGAACUUCCCCAGAUUGAAACCAGUGUCCAUGCAUUAUGUCUACUGGGAAAAACAAAACAGUCCAACACAAAUCAACAAGAGGAGAAAAGCACCCCCGCCCCUGAAGAGACAGCCCCCUAACUCAAAGACUCACUGGAACAAGUUAUACACUUAUCCAGGUUAAGCACAGUGUUGACUGGGUGUUCUCCUUGGCAGCUAGUUUCAUAAAUUAGUAGAGAGCUACUUCCGUGCAUACAGGUAAUAGUAAGAUUGGAAUCAAGGCAUGUUCAGUCAUUCAGAGCUGAGGGACUAAAAUCACAACUGUGAGUAGCAUGAAUGAUCAUAAAGAAACUGCUAUGUAAAAUUAUACGUGAGGGCUAGAAUUUGGUUUCUAUCUCAGAGCACCACCACUCCAUUAUCUAAAAGCUUGCAUGCUUUAACCUUCCUAUAUGAGUUGGCAAUGAUAUUUCUGAACCUCAAUAGUUUGGUAGAUUUUGUGAAUUAAUACUUGCCAAGGUU
Long non-coding RNA from Erinaceus europaeus (western European hedgehog), 1185 nucleotides. RefSeq lists it as uncharacterized. Lineage: Eukaryota; Metazoa; Chordata; Mammalia; Eulipotyphla; Erinaceidae. The transcript has 5 exons. The record is from RefSeq and is a predicted model, not a curated record.